Molecule: ribosomal RNA, 468 nt
Filed under: uncultured bacterium
Lineage: Bacteria
Description: partial 16S ribosomal RNA
Rfam family: Bacterial small subunit ribosomal RNA
Source: RNAcentral
GACGAACGCUGGCGGCGUGCUUAACACAUGCAAGUCGAACGGAAAGGCCCUGCUUUUGUGGGGUGCUCGAUUGGCGAACGGGUGAGUAACACGUGAGUAACCUGCCCUUGACUUUGGGAUAACUUCAGGAAACUGGGGCUAAUACCGGAUAGGAGCUCCUGCUGCAUGGUGGGGGUUGGAAAGUUUCGGCGGUUGGGGAUGGACUCGCGGCUUAUCAGCUUGUUGGUGGGGUAGUGGCUUACCAAGGCUUUGACGGGUAGCCGGCCUGGGAGGGUGACCGGCCACAUUGGGACUGAGAUACGGACCAGACUCCUACGGGAGGCAGCAGUGGGGAAUAUUGCACAAUGGGCGGAAGCCUGAUGCAGCGACGCCGCGUGCGGGAUGACGGCCUUCGGGUUGUAAACCGCUUUCGCCUGUGACGAAGCGUGAGUGACGGUAAUGGGUAAAGAAGCACCGGCUAACUACGUG